Molecule: ribosomal RNA, 386 nt
Filed under: uncultured bacterium
Lineage: Bacteria
Description: bacterial SSU rRNA
Rfam family: Bacterial small subunit ribosomal RNA
Source: RNAcentral
AUUAAACGCUGGCGGCAUGCCUUACACAUGCAAGUCGAACGGCAGCACGGGGGCAACCCUGGUGGCGAGUGGCGAACGGGUGAGUAAAGCAUCGGAACGUGCCCUGGAGUGGGGGAUAACGUAGCGAAAGUUACGCUAAUACCGCAUAUUCUGUGAGCAGGAAAGCAGGGGAUCGCAAGACCUUGCGUUCUGGGAGCGGCCGAUGUCGGAUUAGCUAGUUGGUGGGGUAAAAGCCUACCAAGGCGACGAUCCGUAGCGGGUCUGAGAGGAUGAUCCGCCACACUGGGACUGAGACACGGCCCAGACUCCUACGGGAGGCAGCAGUGGGGAAUUUUGGACAAUGGGCGGAAGCCUGAUCCAGCCAUGCCGCGUGAGUGAAGAAGGCC